CGGCCGUGGCUUCCAGGCACGGCUCUGGGCGGCGCCCGGGGUGUCGGGCGCUCCCUGGGCCGCUGGGCGACCGCACAGCAGGCCCGGGGCCUCUGCGCCCCCAGGGCCGGGAGCACCUCUCUGGGGGGACCUGAGCCACCCGGCGUUUUGUGCUGAUGUUAUGGUUACCUGAUGGGAAUUGAGGACACCUGCGGGCCGCCUUCCAUCCCGGUGCCAGACGAGGGGCGGCGGGACACCUGGCCACGUGCCAGUGUGACUCUUGGCCCGACCGAGGACAUGGUCGCCACCUUCCUGUCGGGGACAGCCUGCAGAGUCCUUAGCUCGUCAAAGAUUGGCUUUCCAACGAAGCAGACCUCGAGACAAAGAUUUGGAUGGCCUCUGAUCCCACGGAAUGCAACGUUGUGGGGCCGGGAGCCCGAGUCCCUGAGCGGACCCUGGGGCCGAGGCGAGAAGGAUCGUCUGACCUCCAUGCCCUCGUUCCCGGGCCCGUGUCUCCACUUCCUGAAUUAGAGCACUGCCUGAUGGACAAAAAUAUCUGCUAUACCUCGGAGGACGGAGGUUCGGAAUAGGUAUCGAAUGGUUUCCUGUCUUUUAUCUGAUGUAUUUUUUAAACCGGGUUGAAGUUCACGUAGCAUACGGUUGCACGUUUUAAAGCGAGCGGGUCAGUGGCGCUUAGCGUGUUCGUGGUGUUGUGUGACGGCCACGCCUGGUCCCGAAACACGCCCCUCCCACUCCCAGAAGAGCCCCUGGAGCCACCACACCGCCGCGCCCAUCCCUCCUCCCAGCUCCAGUCUGCUUUCUGUCUCUGUGGGUUUAGCGUAUGCCCAUACCGUAUGUGUGCGGGGGUGUGCAACGUGUGGUCUCUCGUGCCUGGCUUCUUUCACUCGAGGUCCGUCCACGUCGUGGAAUGCACCGGAACCUCAUGCCCUUUUAAGGACAAACACUGCUCUGUUGUUGAGGGAGCACAUCUGUUUAUCUGUCCACCCGUCGCCGGACGCUUGGGCCGUCUCCCCUUUUGGGUCUCACGCGCUGUCUCUCCAGGGACGGCGUCCUACCUCCACACAGGUCAUGGCCAAGCCCAGGCAUUGAGGAGCCUUUCUCUCAGGCUGGUAGGUUUGUUUGAGGUGGACGUGUGUAGGAGACAGGACCAGCAGGUCCCAGGGUCCCGGUCCUUUGGUCACCCCUUCCCUGUCAUGGGGGUCUGUUGGCCCGAGGUGACAUCUCAUGGGAUUCUGUGUUGGCAGAUGAGAUACCCUGGGAGCCCUUGGCGAGUGUGGUUGGCGGAGGCCGUGGGGACGGGGAAGGCAAAGCCUGAACACUGAUCGGUAGGGGAUGGUAAAUCGCCCCCGAGGAGGGAAGGUCUGAUGGGUUCUGAUGUACUCACCUCAGCAUCAGGAUGCUGGUUGGCAGCUGGAGGGGCGGCACCCCGGCCAGGGCUUAGGGUCGGUCCCCGCCACGCCCCCUGCGUAGAACCUCCAGCCUCACCGCCACGCAGCUUUGUUCGCGUGCUGCUUGUUCAAGGACAGUGGGGAACAGACGGGGCUGGCCCUCACUGUGCCGGCGUCCUAUUCUCCUGGCCAUGUUCACGCCGGUGCCCUCACAGGCCAUCACGUGUAGGGGUGGGGGAUGGUGAACAACCGUUCACACAUCGGGAGCCCACCCGUCCCCAGGACCUCCUGGGGUCUGACCUGAUCCUGCCCUUCUGGGCUGUUCGCCCCUGCCUUGGAGUCGCCGUGUCCCCCAGCCCCCCACCACUUCUGCCUUCCCAUGAAGUUGAUGAUGUGUCCCUGUUGAAGCUCUGCCUCGUGGGACCACACCCGAGCGAGUGGGGCUGAAGCGAGGUGGGUGCUGCGGUCCCACAUGCGCCAGUGGAGGGCGGCCCGUGGGCGGGCUCACUGGGAAAUUACAUGUUAGGGGAACACGAACCGAGUGUGGAAAAUGAAGGCGAGCGGCCCGGCCGCGGAGUAGAUGUAGGAGACGCUUAACUACCACCGCGGUCGUGUCAUUUGUUGAAUGGUGCAAACCCACAACUAUUUUUUUAUUGUUUGGUAAUGCUUUAAAAAUUUUGCAGUAAACCCUUUCAGCAGCCGUGAGCAGAAAAAGCUGAAAGUCAUGCUUCAUAAAAGUACCAGAUUGUUAUUUCUUUUUCUCAAGAGAGUGGACGGUGCACGUUUAUUUGUACAAAACGGAUGUUGGUGUGACGUCCAACCCGGGGCAGCCGCGACAGAACCGGGGGCGCGGGGACCAGGGGCAGGGCCAGCCGGUCGCAGAGGUGGUCACCGAGAAGCCUGGAGUCGCCGGCAAGCGGGCGCGCUUCCCCAGGGUUCCGUGAGGCCUGUCGCUUUGCUCAGAUUUACUGUCUGUUCUGCUGAAUGAACUAACUGUGCCCACGGUGGUAGCCCACGUCUUCUUGCGCACGGACCGUCGGCAGGCCUUUGCAAGCCGUCGAGUGUUCAGAUGAGCGUCCCGGUAGUUUCCGGCAGGAAAUCGGUUAAAUUAAUUUCAAAAUCAUUUUGAUGUUUUUCAUCCCGUUGAUGGAGUCUAGAUAAAGCAGCUGGAAGUUUAUUCUGUCAGACGUGAAACGCACCUGAUGUGCGGCCGCUUGAGCUGUAAAUUGAGUUUUAAAAAACGCCUUCGAUGCUGAAAUGUUUUUGGUUUGGCAGGUGAUUACAAGAAGACAAAUUUUGGAUGAUCACAGCUGUAUGAUUAAAGACACAAUAUUUUGAUCUUGUUAAGAAGCCCAUCGUCCCUGGGAACUUCGGUGGCUCACACCAUGUUCCUAAUUGCGUGGAAAGCAGCCUGGGGUGUGGCCAAUGGACCUGGAAGGUGUGCUUUUCAAAACAUGAGGAUAUUUUUAUGUGCACACAGCAGAGCUGGACGAGAGAACGGAUUUCAAAGGUGCCGUGUAAUUAAAAAACGCUUCGGCACGCCGUGUGGGGCUGCGUGCCGCAGGUUCUCAGAGUUCAGAAACAGUUGGCCGUCGGAGGACGACCCGCGACGAUUUCAGACAUUUUCGGGAAUGGGUCUGUAGAUUGUGGCUGUGUUUUAUGUAAGUUGGACGUUUUUAAAUCGUCCCGUUUGUCUGACGGAGGAGCACAGCACUCGAGCUUUUGAAUCCCUCAGGAACUGUACUGAUUGAGAGUAAAGUUCGCAAAGUUGAACAGAACUGCUGUGGAGCCGUGGGGAAGCCAGGGAGGAGACGGAACAAACUGAACUCGAGGGGGUCGGAGAGUAUGCGAGAUCUAAUUUCCAAAUUGUGUAAUUGUGCUUUGGAAAACCGUACUUGUGGGAAGAAUGUUUUGAUGGUGCCUUUAGGUCUAAUUGCAUCAAUUUAUAUUUUGGAACGACACGGAACCCUUUUGAGCUGGCCAUUGAAAAGGAUCGCGCGCAGGGACGGCUUAUUUGAGUUUUGCCUGUACCGUAUUUGUUGCAGGAUAGAGAGCUGAGCCUCUGGGUGGGCGGGGUAGAGACCUGAGGAGGGCACCCAAGAGGGUAUUUGUGCUGGAGUAUUUACACAUUCAAAUAAAACAAAAACAAAAAAUAACAAACAAGUGAGCCCAGGACUGUGCAUACUUUCCACGGAGCAGAAGUUCCUCCGAGCCCAUGGGGCAUCCCGGGGUCUCUCAAGAGUGAGUCGUCUGAACUGAGAACACUGGUCUGUCGAGGGCCUCGAAAGCCCUCCAGAAAUUCAAAGCCAUGAAUGUAAAUUUGAAGGAUUUGGCAGCAGUUUCAUGAAAACAAUAAAAAAUAAGAUCCAGUGAGAGAAAUCCCAGUGGUCAGUGGGAGAGAGCCUCGGGCAAGGACACAGAGUGGAGGGUACGACAAUGCGGCGAGAAUAGUAAAUACAAACUUGCGAUUUUAACGCAGGUUUUUGUGUGUUUAGAAAGCGUUUUUGGGCACAGUAGGUGCAACGUCUGUCUUCAGCUUGGAUCGUGAUCUUGCGGUCCGUGGGUUCGAGCCCCGCGUUGGGCUCCGUGCUGACAUCUCAGCUUCGGAUUCUGUGUCUCCCUCACUCUCUGCCCCUCCUCUGCUCACACUGUGUCUCUCUCUCAAAAAUAAACAAACAUUCAAAAAAAUGAAAAAAAAGAAAGCGUUUUCUCUUUGAAAAUCGGUUUUGAACAGAACUAUCUCACAGAGCCUCCGAGAUGACACAUCCACCUUGUAGGUGAAGCGAGCCCCGUGAGCCUCACCGUUCACACUCUUCCGGGCCGUCCGCGCUGGGGGAGGAGUCGGGUGGCCCCGGCUGGGGACCAGGGAGAGGGAAGGCGUCUGGACUGUGGCCCCACCGUGCGGGCGGGACCGUGGUGCCCACGCCCCAGAGGACGGCUCUGCCAGGAAUAAUCAUGUGGCUUCUUCCUUCGCCCCAGCCGGACAGUCCCCUCCAGAUGCAGAUCCUGACACCCCACAGGGCUGGCUCCCAUCACACUCCAGGGUCGCUAUGGGACCCUGUGACAGCCCUGCAAACCCAAGGAGGUGGCCGCCGGGUCUCCCCUUUUCUGGGCUCCGGCACCACCCCGUCACCUCCUUCCUCUGCGCCCAGACACGGGA
This is a long non-coding RNA of Panthera uncia (snow leopard), 4548 nucleotides long. RefSeq lists it as uncharacterized. Lineage: Eukaryota; Metazoa; Chordata; Mammalia; Carnivora; Felidae. The record is from RefSeq and is a predicted model, not a curated record. The transcript has 3 exons.